CGCUGGCGGCAGGCCUAACACAUGCAAGUCGAGCGGAUGAAGGGAGCUUGCUCCCUGAUUCAGCGGCGGACGGGUGAGUAAUGCCUAGGAAUCUGCCUGGUAGUGGGGGACAACGUUUCGAAAGGAACGCUAAUACCGCAUACGUCCUACGGGAGAAAGCAGGGGACCUUCGGGCCUUGCGCUAUCAGAUGAGCCUAGGUCGGAUUAGCUAGUUGGUGAGGUAAUGGCUCACCAAGGCGACGAUCCGUAACUGGUCUGAGAGGAUGAUCAGUCACACUGGAACUGAGACACGGUCCAGACUCCUACGGGAGGCAGCAGUGGGGAAUAUUGGACAAUGGGCGAAAGCCUGAUCCAGCCUUGCCGCGUGUGUGAAGAAGGUCUUCGGAUUGUAAAGCACUUUAAGUUGGGAGGAAGGGUUGCUGAUUAAUACUCUGCAAUUUUGACGUUACCGACAGAAUAAGCACCGGCU
RNAcentral lists this ribosomal RNA (469 nucleotides) under uncultured bacterium. RNAcentral's name for it is "bacterial SSU rRNA". It matches the Rfam family "Bacterial small subunit ribosomal RNA", at positions 34 to 498 of the family's 1533-position model. The record is from RNAcentral.